AAUUCUCAACCUUGCUUGCUUUUACCGGCUUAAGUGAGGCUUGGACGUGAGGGCUUUGCUGGCUUCCUUCAGUGGAUGGUCCGCUCCCUUUAAAUGCAUUAGUGGGAUCUCUUGUGGACCGUCACUUGGUGUGAUAAUUAUCUAUGCCUCGUCGACUUUGAAGCAAAAUUUAUGGGAACCUGCUUAUAACCGUCUCGCAAGGGACAACACCUUUGACA
RNAcentral lists this unclassified non-coding RNA (218 nucleotides) under uncultured Mycena. RNAcentral's name for it is "sequence contains ITS2". Lineage: Eukaryota; Fungi; Basidiomycota; Agaricomycetes; Agaricales; Tricholomataceae. The record is from RNAcentral.